Molecule: unclassified non-coding RNA, 392 nt
Filed under: uncultured fungus
Lineage: Eukaryota; Fungi
Description: sequence contains ITS1
Rfam family: 5.8S ribosomal RNA (bases 1-105)
Source: RNAcentral
GAAAUGCGAUACGUAAUGCGAAUUGCAGAAUUCAGUGAAUCAUCAAAUCUUUGAACGCAACUUGCGCUUCUGGGUAUCCCUGGAAGCAUGCCCCUUUGAGUAUCGUUUCAACCCAAACUCGCCUGCGUGUUUUUUGACUUAAGCACAGCAGCGCGGAGAAUGAGUGUUUGGCCGGAAUGGCUAAUCAUUUGAAACUUCUCAUAAUUCAGUAUCACCGUUGGGCACAGCUCACCUGGUUGAUGUUUGAUAAUUGGCCUUUUGGUCAUUUAACAUCAUUCCAUCGACAACAGGAAGGUGUGUAUUUGUAAUUAUGUAUCAAGGAAACUGAUUGGAGAGAAAUCUUCGAUCCUGAUCUUGAUCUCAGAUGGAGCAAGAGAACCCGCCGAAUUUAA